UACGGAAGGUCCGGGCGUUAUCCGGAUUUAUUGGGUUUAAAGGGAGCGCAGGCUGAUUGGUAAGCGUGUUGUGAAAUGUACCGGCUCAACCGGUGAGCUGCAGCGCGAACUGCCGAUCUUGAGUGAGUACGACGGAGGCGGAAUUUGUGGUGUAGCGGUGAAAUGCUUAGAUAUCACGAAGAACCCCGAUUGCGAAGGCAGCCUCCGAGUCCUUAACUGACGCUAAAGCUCGAAAGUGCGGGUAUCGAAC
This 250-nucleotide ribosomal RNA is filed under the name uncultured prokaryote. Its description in RNAcentral is "partial 16S ribosomal RNA". It matches the Rfam family "Bacterial small subunit ribosomal RNA", at positions 524 to 773 of the family's 1533-position model. The record is from RNAcentral.